Molecule: ribosomal RNA, 1443 nt
Filed under: uncultured organism
Description: SSU rRNA
Rfam family: Bacterial small subunit ribosomal RNA
Source: RNAcentral
UACAGGCUUAACACAUGCAAGUCGAGGGGCAGCAUGGUCUUAGCUUGCUAAGGCCGAUGGCGACCGGCGCACGGGUGAGUAACACGUAUCCAACCUGCCGUCUACUCUUGGACAGCCUUCUGAAAGGAAGAUUAAUACAAGAUGGCAUCAUGAGUCCGCAUGUUCACAUGAUUAAAGGUAUUCCGGUAGACGAUGGGGAUGCGUUCCAUUAGAUAGUAGGCGGGGUAACGGCCCACCUAGUCUUCGAUGGAUAGGGGUUCUGAGAGGAAGGUCCCCCACAUUGGAACUGAGACACGGUCCAAACUCCUACGGGAGGCAGCAGUGAGGAAUAUUGGUCAAUGGGCGAGAGCCUGAACCAGCCAAGUAGCGUGAAGGAUGACUGCCCUAUGGGUUGUAAACUUCUUUUAUAAAGGAAUAAAGUCGGGUAUGGAUACCCGUUUGCAUGUACUUUAUGAAUAAGGAUCGGCUAACUCCGUGCCAGCAGCCGCGGUAAUACGGAGGAUCCGAGCGUUAUCCGGAUUUAUUGGGUUUAAAGGGAGCGUAGAUGGAUGUUUAAGUCAGUUGUGAAAGUUUGCGGCUCAACCGUAAAAUUGCAGUUGAUACUGGAUAUCUUGAGUGCAGUUGAGGCAGGCGGAAUUCGUGGUGUAGCGGUGAAAUGCUUAGAUAUCACGAAGAACUCCGGUUGCGAAGGCAGCCUGCUAAGCUGCAACUGACAUUGAGGCUCGAAAGUGUGGGUAUCAAACAGGAUUAGAUACCCUGGUAGUCCACACGGUAAACGAUGAAUACUCGCUGUUUGCGAUAUACUGCAAGCGGCCAAGCGAAAGCGUUAAGUAUUCCCACCUGGGGAGUACGCCGGCAACGGUGAAACUCAAAGGAAUUGACGGGGGCCCGCACAAGCGGAGGAACAUGUGGUUUAAUUCGAUGAUACGCGAGGAACCUUACCCGGGCUUAAAUUGCAGAUGAAUUACGGUGAAAGCCGUAAGCCGCAAGGCAUCUGUGAAGGUGCUGCAUGGUUGUCGUCAGCUCGUGCCGUGAGGUGUCGGCUUAAGUGCCAUAACGAGCGCAACCCUUGUUGUCAGUUACUAACAGGUUCCGCUGAGGACUCUGACAAGACUGCCAUCGUAAGAUGUGAGGAAGGUGGGGAUGACGUCAAAUCAGCACGGCCCUUACGUCCGGGGCUACACACGUGUUACAAUGGGGGGUACAGAGGGCCGCUACCACGCGAGUGGAUGCCAAUCCCCAAAACCUCUCUCAGUUCGGACUGGAGUCUGCAACCCGACUCCACGAAGCUGGAUUCGCUAGUAAUCGCGCAUCAGCCACGGCGCGGUGAAUACGUUCCCAGGCCUUGUACACACCGCCCGUCAAGCCAUGGGAGCCGGGGGUACCUGAAGUGCGUAACCGCGAGGAGCGCCCUAGGGUAAAACUGGUGACUGGGGCUAAGUA